AUCCUUUUCCGGUUAAUGAGCGUGAUAAUUGGGUUCUCACACGCUUGCGUUAUAUGUGCCUCCCCUUAAACCUUGUUACGACCUGGUCUGAUG
This 93-nucleotide small nucleolar RNA is filed under the name Dipodomys ordii (Ord's kangaroo rat). Its description in RNAcentral is "Small nucleolar RNA U13". It matches the Rfam family "Small nucleolar RNA U13". The record is from Rfam by way of RNAcentral. Lineage: Eukaryota; Metazoa; Chordata; Mammalia; Rodentia; Heteromyidae.